Molecule: long non-coding RNA, 1747 nt
Filed under: Oryza sativa tropical japonica subgroup
Lineage: Eukaryota; Viridiplantae; Streptophyta; Magnoliopsida; Poales; Poaceae
Description: lncRNA OsAzu_07g0013230
Source: RNAcentral
AUCCUUGCGACCUCCGCCCCAAGAGUCCUCGCCGCCGGUCGGCGCCACCAUCUUCUCGCAGUGCAAGCAGCCAUCGCCUUGUCGCCUUACUUGCCGGCGACCCAGCGCCGCUUCGUCGUCGUCGAGCUAGCGGCGCCGCAGCCCUCCCCUGGAGCCAUUGUCCUGCACCACCUCCCCGCGGACACGGUGCCGGCUGCAGCCGUAGUCUUCUCGUGGAUCCACCGGCCAACACCGCCACCAACCAUCUCGUCCACGGCCAUCUCCUCGCUUCUCAUAGCUGCUGCUCGUCGGCUCCUCCACACCUCUCCAGUUGGUACUGCCAUGCUCUGUGCGUAGGAUACACAUUGGUCUGGGAUAUCAAUAAUGUUCCUCUUCUUUUGUAGGUUUCAUGGCGUUGCAAAUGCUUUUGUAGCUUUCAUGUGAUGACGAGGGCCUUCAUUUGUGCGAAUAUACACAAGUUGCUGGCAUUUCUUCAUUUUGCAUAGUACAAACUCUGAUGUUAUGUGCAAAUGAGGCCAUAUGGAUGGUUCAUCACCAUGAAGCUUCAAUUCAUAGUAACCGGCAAGGUCACAAAUUUAUAAUAACAGGAUUGAUGUGCAAAUCUGAUCAGAAAAGGGAGUAAACUACAAUCAGGACUCUUUUCACUUUUUACUGAUGACAUGCUUCCUCAGUUAAUGAUGCUUUUAUUGAUCCACUGCUUCUUCCACUCCAUGCAGUACACCUGUGAAAUGUGCCUGCUUUGACUGUUUUGUAUACAACAAUACAAGUACCCACCUCUUUCCUCUUGACAAGUGCCCACCUCUCCAUCAACCCCUUUCCUUCUCUCUAGGUGAGUAUUAAAGGUGCACAUGAGCUAGCUAUAUAAUUUUUAGUCUUUCUUCAAUUGACAUGCGUAGAAAAGUUCUAUUAGUUUAUCUGUUAAAUUUUCUAUAUCCAGCUUUACCUUCAUAUCACAUCCAGCUAAAUUGUUCAUAUUCCCUUCACAGGGUGCAUCCUAAACUGCCAGGAUAUAUGCCAAGUGUGGAUAGCCUUAUUUUUUGUGUGCACGUGUGGAUGACAUUGCUAUAUGCAUGACUGUCCCUUUUGGGUAUAUGCCCAGGAUGGCAUCAGUAUGCACACCUAGCCUUAGAAGCAACACCAUUUGUUUAGAAGCUCUGCAUUAUAGCCGCUAAUGUAAAUAGCUGUUGUCAUAUAUAUGGUGUUUGCUUCUUAAAAUUCUUUUGCUUUACAUAAAACUGCAAUCCAGACUAUGAACGAGCACUUAUGGUUGAAAUCCUAUAGCUCUUAAUUAUUAUUACUCUGAAUGUCUACUACUUUGCUAUGCUCCUUAUUUUCAGGGUAAACAUGUGCCAUGAAAAGUUGCAUUAGGUAAGUCUCAGCCAGCUAUUGCUGAUAAUCUGGCAUGAGCUACAUUUUUGUUAGGCUACAUUACUGUUGUUAUGGAAAAAUGGAAAGGUAUUAAACUGGGGUACUAUUGUUGCUAAUCUGGGAUGAGUUAGAUUUUUGUUGGGCUGUAUUAAUGUUGUUAUGGAAAAUGGAAAGGUAUUAAGCAGGGGUACAAAUUUGUUGCUAAUCUGGGAUCAACUACAUUUAUUUCCCAGUUAGAUUCAUCUCUAGCAGCAUCAGCUUUAUAGAUCUUUGAUCUUAGUUAAUCCUAUUGAAUAGUGCUAUUUUGCCUUAAUUUUCCUUUCUUAUCUUCCAGAAUAGCAUAUCUUUUCUUUCCUAAUUAUUUUCUACAAUAAUAUAA